GAUGAACGCUGGCGGCGUGCCUAAUACAUGCAAGUCGAGCGAACGGACGAGAGGCUUGCUUUUCUGAUGUUAGAGGCGGACGGGUGAGUAACACGUGGAUAACCUACCUAUAAGACUGGGAUAACUUCGGGAAACCGGAGCUAAUACCGGAUAAUAUUUUGAACCGCAUGGUUCAAAAGUGAAAGACGGUCUUGCUGUCACUUAUAGAUGGAUCCGCGCUGCAUUAGCUAGUUGGUAAGGUAACGGCUUACCAAGGCAACGAUGCAUAGCCGACCUGAGAGGGUGAUCGGCCACACUGGAACUGAGACACGGUCCAGACUCCUACGGGAGGCAGCAGUAGGGAAUCUUCCGCAAUGGGCGAAAGCCUGACGGAGCAACGCCGCGUGAGUGAUGAAGGUCUUCGGAUCGUAAAACUCUGUUAUUAGGGAAGAACAUAUGUGUAAGUAACUGUGCACAUCUUGACGGUACCUAAUCAGAAAGCCACGGCUAACUACGUG
This 497-nucleotide ribosomal RNA is filed under the name uncultured bacterium. Its description in RNAcentral is "partial 16S ribosomal RNA". It matches the Rfam family "Bacterial small subunit ribosomal RNA", at positions 28 to 507 of the family's 1533-position model. The record is from RNAcentral.